UGGCCGUGGCUGCUGCUGACAGGCGCCCCUCCUUCUCCUACUCAGCUCCUCGGUAUUCAUCUGAGGAGAGCGGUCCUGCUCAGUACAACUUCCAGUGGGCCGUCAACGACGCCCCCUCAGGUAACGACUUCGGUCACCAGGAGAACCGUGACAACGACAACACCCAGGGGUCGUACACCGUGCAGCUUCCCGACGGUCGUCUUCAGACCGUGAAAUACUACGUGGACGGUGACUCAGGCUACAUUGCUGAUGUGGGUUACCAGGGUGAUGCUCGCUACCCCGACUCUGAUGAAGUCAGGUCCUACACCCCACCCAGACCCCAGUACGGAUAAGACCCCGGCCACUGUCUCUUUAGGAUGUUCAAUGAUUUAACUUUAUCUUCAGAAAACACAUACCUGAACCUGGCAAUACUCAGCCUACAGUAUAUUUAUGCAAUUGUAUAUUUUGAUAUUGAAUAAAAUAAUUUUCAUUCUA
Molecule: long non-coding RNA, 474 nt
Organism: Homarus americanus (American lobster)
Lineage: Eukaryota; Metazoa; Arthropoda; Malacostraca; Decapoda; Nephropidae
Exons: 2
Source: RefSeq, a predicted model, not a curated record